This 112-nucleotide small RNA is filed under the name Vibrio chagasii. Its description in RNAcentral is "Alpha_RBS". It matches the Rfam family "Alpha operon ribosome binding site". From Rfam's summary of the family: The bacterial alpha operon ribosome binding site is surrounded by this complex pseudoknotted structure. Translation of the mRNA produces 4 ribosomal protein products, one of which (S4) acts as a translational repressor by binding to the nested pseudoknot region. The record is from RNAcentral. RNAcentral also lists the same sequence under 1 other name. Lineage: Bacteria; Pseudomonadati; Pseudomonadota; Gammaproteobacteria; Vibrionales; Vibrionaceae.
AAAGAAGUAGUAUGCCGCAGCGUAUCCAUAACGGGCUUUGCUGCGGAUAAUUCUUUUAUGAACCCCUUAGGAGUGAAUAAUGGCCCGUAUAGCCGGCAUUAACAUUCCUGAU